RNAcentral lists this long non-coding RNA (1539 nucleotides) under Coffea arabica (coffee). RNAcentral describes it as "long non-coding RNA (CARA_LNC007307)". The record is from RNAcentral. Lineage: Eukaryota; Viridiplantae; Streptophyta; Magnoliopsida; Gentianales; Rubiaceae.
UCUCACCUCAAGCCUAAAUCAUUUUCUCUAUAUUCCUUUGGCCAAAUUUACAACUGUAUAUUUGUGUUUGCAACUGUUUAUUAAAAUGAGGACAAAUGGAAAGAAUGAGAGAUGUAUCAAUUAAAAAGCAUGAUUAACACUGGAAUUUUUGAGACAUGGAGAUUUGGACUAUGGAAAGGAUAAGAAAACUUGAAUAGGGGAAAAAAGGUGGAUUGAAGCUAUAGGAAAGAAUUAGCAUGUGAGUGAGAAGAUUAUUAUAUCUUAAAAAAGCAUGGUAAGUACAAUAUUUGAAUGUAGUGGUGUGCAACAUGAAAUUAUCAGAAAUCUUGGAAGAGGUUUUCGUAAUUAUCCUUUGUUGUAAUAUUAUUCACUUUUUUUUGUACCUCGUGAUUAUUGGUUGCCACAUUCGCACUCGAAAUGCAAACGCACAAAGCAAAAUUUAAGGAUGAAAAAUAAAAAAACCAUGGCAAUAAAUAUAGGAAAAUACUCUAUGUUUGAUUAACGCUAAAAUAUUAUAAAAUGAUUAUAGUAUUUCUUUUUCAUUUUUUAUUAGUAACACUUUUUUUAAAAAAAUUAGUGGGGGAAUAAUAGGAUUUAAGAAGCAAAGAGGGGACAGGGAGAUUAUAAUUCAGGAUCUCUAACUCUUGGGAGCAAGAUGAUAAUAUUAUUUCUAAAAACCCAAUAUCGAAUCCUGUUGAUUUUGAUAUAAAGGAACUUGGAUGAUUGAAGAGUUUAAAAUAUAAAAUACUUCUUAACUAUAAUAUCUUAUCAUUAAUCAAAUGUGGAAUCUUAUGAUUGUUACCUAUUUUUUUGCUUUGGAUUUGGUUUUUUGGUGUUUGAACUUUGAGUAUGAACUGACUAAAGAUUACUACAAUGAGGAGAUUCAUUUAAGUGAGGUCUUCCUCCAUUUGAAACGGGAGCUUACAUGGCAUAAAAAAGAUUAAAAUGGUAAUAAUUUAGAAAAGAGCAUGGAAAAUUUUUUCCAAAGAAGAUUACUUCAGAUAUAAACUCCCUAUAAUGAUGUAUCAAUGCCACAUCAUUAUGGAGUUCACCAAUGUAGACGUCAGCAUCCAUAAACCAUUGGGGCGUCAAGAUACUUUCACUCAAACUUUAUUAUCUAGGGGGAGGCAUGAAUGGGAUAGCAUUGAGAAGGGAGUGUGAGUGAGAAAUUUCGGGUUCGAAAUUUUUUACUUAUACUAAAAAAAAAUUUUAAAAAUAUUAUUAUUUAAUAAAUUUGGAAAAGUAGUCAAUUCUUUAUCUUAAAUUAUGUUACAGUUAUAUCCUCUUCAUGAAUUAGUAUUGAUCCCCUUACUACUACCCAAAUUUUGCCUAUAACUUUUGGAUAAUUCAUAUAAAGGAGUAGGCUACUAUUCAGUAUUCACUCACAAUUAAUAUAAUACGUUUUAUUUUUAUUUAGCAAAAUAGCCAAAUGGAUCUCAAUAUAAUUGCUAAAAAUGUAUCCCUUCUCCCAGUCUCCGUUUGCCACCAACAUCAUUCCACCAACACCACCUUGCUCCACCCAAAAAAAAAAAAAAAAAA